RNAcentral lists this ribosomal RNA (460 nucleotides) under uncultured bacterium. RNAcentral's name for it is "partial 16S ribosomal RNA". It matches the Rfam family "Bacterial small subunit ribosomal RNA", at positions 338 to 795 of the family's 1533-position model. The record is from RNAcentral.
CCUACGGGGAGCAGCAGUGAGGAAUAUUGGUCAAUUGACGCAAGUCUGAACCCGCCAUGCCGCGUGCAGGAAGACGGCUCUAUGAGUUGUAAACUGCUUUUGUACGAGGGUAAACGCAGAUACGCGUAUCUGUCUGAAAGUAUCGUACGAAUAAGGAUCGGCUAACUCCGUGCCAGCAGCCGCGGUCAUCCGGAGGAUUCAAGCGUUAUCCGGAUUUAUUGGGUUUAAAGGGUGCGUAGGCGGUCGGAUAAGUUAGAGGUGAAAUCCCGAGGCUCAACUUCGGAAUUGCCUCUGAUACUGUUAGGCUAGAGAGUAGUUGCGGUAGGCGGAAUGUAUGGUGUAGCGGUGAAAUGCUUAGAGAUCAUACAGAACACCGAUUGCGAAGGCAGCUUACCAAGCUACUUCUGACGUUGAGGCACGAAAGCGUGGGGAGCAAACAGGAUUAGAUACCCCAGUAGUC